RNAcentral lists this ribosomal RNA (486 nucleotides) under Triticum aestivum (bread wheat). Its description in RNAcentral is "partial small subunit ribosomal RNA". Lineage: Eukaryota; Viridiplantae; Streptophyta; Magnoliopsida; Poales; Poaceae. The record is from RNAcentral.
AUGGCCGCCGAGGAGGCCGCCAAGCCGGCCACGCUCCCGUCCUAUCCCGAGAUGAUACUGGCGGCCAUCGCGGCGCUCAACGACAAGAACGGGUCGAACAAGUCCGCCAUCUCCAAGCACAUCGAGGGCAAGUACGGCGACCUCCCCAAGGAGCACGCGGCGCUGCUGACGGCGCAUCUGGUGCGCAUGAAGGAGACCGGCCAGCUCCUCUUCCUCAAGAACAACUACUUCCGCACCGACGCGCCGGACGCCCCGCCCAAGCGGGGCCGCGGCCGCCCGCGCAAGCCCAUUGACCCCAACGCGCCGCCCAAGCCCGCCUCCCCGCGCCCCCGCGGACGCCCGACCAAGCCCAAGGAUCCUGAGGCCGAAGCUGCCAAUCCGCCCAAGAAGGCCAAGACCGCUCCUACCCCUGCCGUCGACGGAUCCGCCAAGCGCGGCCGCGGCCGUCCGCCCAAGGCACGCCCCGCCGAGCCGGCGGCGGCCUGA